This 496-nucleotide ribosomal RNA is filed under the name uncultured bacterium. RNAcentral describes it as "partial 16S ribosomal RNA". It matches the Rfam family "Bacterial small subunit ribosomal RNA", at positions 29 to 507 of the family's 1533-position model. The record is from RNAcentral.
AUGAACGCUGGCGGCGUGCCUAAUACAUGCAAGUCGAGCGAACAGAUGAGGAGCUUGCUCCUCUGACGUUAGCGGCGGACGGGUGAGUAACACGUGGAUAACCUACCUAUAAGACUGGGAUAACUUCGGGAAACCGGAGCUAAUACCGGAUAAUAUAUUGAACCGCAUGGUUCAAUAGUGAAAGACGGUUUUGCUGUCACUUAUAGAUGGAUCCGCGCCGCAUUAGCUAGUUGGUAAGGUAACGGCUUACCAAGGCAACGAUGCGUAGCCGACCUGAGAGGGUGAUCGGCCACACUGGAACUGAGACACGGUCCAGACUCCUACGGGAGGCAGCAGUAGGGAAUCUUCCGCAAUGGGCGAAAGCCUGACGGAGCAACGCCGCGUGAGUGAUGAAGGUCUUCGGAUCGUAAAACUCUGUUAUUAGGGAAGAACAAAUGUGUAAGUAACUAUGCAUGUCUUGACGGUACCUAAUCAGAAAGCCACGGCUAACUACGUG